GCCUACCAUGGUUUUAACGGGUAACGGGGAAUUAGGGUUCGAUUCCGGAGAGGGAGCCUGAGAAACGGCUACCACAUCCAAGGAAGGCAGCAGGCGCGCAAAUUACCCAAUCCCGAUACGGGGAGGUAGUGACAAUAAAUAACAAUACAGGGCUUUAUAGUCUUGUAAUUGGAAUGAGUACAAUUUAAAUCUCUUAACGAGGAACAAUUGGAGGGCAAGUCUGGUGCCAGCAGCCGCGGUAAUUCCAGCUCCAAUAGCGUAUAUUAAAGUUGUUGCAGUUAAAAAGCUCGUAGUUGAAUUUUAGGCCUGGUUGGACGGUCUGCUCUAGGGUUUGUACUGUCCUGACUGGGUCUUACCUUCUGGUGAGCUGUCGUAUUGUUUACUCAGUGCGGCAGGGAACCAGGACUUUUACUUUGAAAAAAUUAGAGUGUUUAAAGCAGGCAUUCGCUUGAAUACAUUAGCAUGGAAUAAUAGAAUAGGACUUUGGUUCUAUUUUGUUGGUUUCUAGGACCGAAGUAAUGAUUAAUAGGGAUAGUUGGGGGCAUUAGUAUUUAAUUGUCAGAGGUGAAAUUCUUGGAUUUAUUAAAGACUAACUUCUGCGAAAGCAUUUGCCAAGGAUGUUUUCAUUAAUCAAGAACGA
Molecule: ribosomal RNA, 640 nt
Filed under: cf. Mortierella sp. 195/LC2
Lineage: Eukaryota; Fungi; Mortierellomycota; Mortierellomycetes; Mortierellales; Mortierellaceae
Description: SSU rRNA
Rfam family: Eukaryotic small subunit ribosomal RNA
Source: RNAcentral